AUUGAACGCUGGCGGCAGGCCUAACACAUGCAAGUCGAACGAGUGGCGGACGGGUGAGUAAUGUCUGGGAAACUGCCUGAUGGAGGGGGAUAACUACUGGAAACGGUAGCUAAUACCGCAUACCAUCAGAUGUGCCCAGAUGGGAUUAGCUAGUAGGUGGGGUAAAGGCUCACCUUGGCGACGAUCCCUAGCUGGUCUGAGAGGAUUACCAGCCACACUGGAACUGAGACACGGUACAGACUCCUACGGGAGGCAGCAGGGGUGAAUAUUGCACAAUGGGCGCAAGCCUGAUGCAGCCAUGCCGCGUGUAUGAAGAAGGCCUUCGGGUUGUAAAGUACUUUCAGCGGGGAGGCGUUACCCACAGAAGAAGCACCGGCUAACUCCGUGCCAGCAGCCGCGGUAAUUC
RNAcentral lists this ribosomal RNA (406 nucleotides) under uncultured bacterium. RNAcentral describes it as "partial 16S ribosomal RNA". It matches the Rfam family "Bacterial small subunit ribosomal RNA", at positions 30 to 526 of the family's 1533-position model. The record is from RNAcentral.